This 279-nucleotide ribosomal RNA is filed under the name uncultured bacterium. RNAcentral describes it as "partial 16S ribosomal RNA". It matches the Rfam family "Bacterial small subunit ribosomal RNA", at positions 506 to 784 of the family's 1533-position model. The record is from RNAcentral.
UGCCAGCCGCCGCGGUAACACGGGGGGCGCAAGCGUUAUUCGGAAUUAUUGGGCGUAAAGGGCGCGCAGGCGGUUAGUUUAGUCAGAUGUGAAAUCCCGGUGCUCAACGCCGGAACUGCAUUUGAAACUGGCUAACUAGAGUCAUCAAGAGGAGAUCGGAAUUACCAGUGUAGAGGUGAAAUUCGUAGAUAUUGGUAGGAACACCAGUGGCGAAGGCGGAUCUCUGGGGAUGUACUGACGCUCAGGGUCGAAAGCAUGGGGAGCAAAUAGGAUUAGAUA